GGUUCCGACAAUUCUCCGGAGAAACCACUAAGCCCAUGUUCAUCUUCAUUAAUUCACUCUCUUUUCGGCCCAACUUAGAAAAAACCAAAAAAGGCAUAAUAUUAACCCCGGCACCGCCAUCAACAAUCAUGCGACCAAUAGGCUUACCAUCGGUAUGACCCCUGAUGAAUAAUGGUUUCAGAUGCUGCUCGGGCUUCUCGGGCUUCUCAAACAUAGCAUUUUUUGCAC
RNAcentral lists this long non-coding RNA (228 nucleotides) under Hordeum vulgare. RNAcentral describes it as "long non-coding RNA (HVUL_LNC010344)". Lineage: Eukaryota; Viridiplantae; Streptophyta; Magnoliopsida; Poales; Poaceae. The record is from RNAcentral.